UUUAUGACCGUUGUUUUUUGUCCAACGUUUGACUAUUCGUCUUAUUCAAAAAAAUUAUGUAAUUAUCAUUUAUUUUAUUGUGACUUGAUUCAUCAUCAAAUGCUAUUUAAGCAUGACAUAAACAUUUUCAUAUUUUCACAAAAAAAUUAAAUAAAACGAAUGGUCAAACGUUGCUAAAAAGUCAACGGUGUCAUUAAU
Molecule: microRNA precursor, 198 nt
Filed under: Oryza barthii
Lineage: Eukaryota; Viridiplantae; Streptophyta; Magnoliopsida; Poales; Poaceae
Description: MIR812 microRNA precursor family
Rfam family: MIR812 microRNA precursor family
Source: Rfam by way of RNAcentral